GACGAACGCUGGCGGCGUGCUUAACACAUGCAAGUCGAGCGGUAAGGCCCUUUCGGGGGUACGACGAGCGGCGAACGGGUGAGUAACACGUGGGUGACCUGCCCUCAGCUCUGGGAUAAGCCUGGGAAACCGGGUCUAAUACUGGAUAUGACUCCAUGACGCAUGUUGGUGGGGUGGAAAGCCUUGUGCGGCUGAGGAUGGGCCCGCGGCCUAUCAGCUUGUUGGUGGGGUGANGGCCUACCAAGGCGACGACGGGUAGCCGGCCUGAGAGGGCGACCGGCCACACUGGGAC
RNAcentral lists this ribosomal RNA (292 nucleotides) under uncultured bacterium. Its description in RNAcentral is "partial 16S ribosomal RNA". It matches the Rfam family "Bacterial small subunit ribosomal RNA", at positions 28 to 319 of the family's 1533-position model. The record is from RNAcentral.